AAACCAACAGGGAUUGCCUCAGUAACGGCGAGUGAAGCGGCAACAGCUCAAAUUUGAAAUCUGGCUCUUUUAGAGUCCGAGUUGUAAUUUGCAGAGGGCGCUUCGGCGUUGGCAGCGGUCCAAGUUCCUUGGAACAGGACGUCACAGAGGGUGAGAAUCCCGUACGUGGUCGCUAGCCAUCGCCGUGUAAAGCCCCUUCGACGAGUCGAGUUGUUUGGGAAUGCAGCUCUAAAUGGGAGGUAAAUUUCUUCUAAAGCUAAAUACUGGCCAGAGACCGAUAGCGCACAAGUAGAGUGAUCGAAAGAUGAAAAGCACUUUGGAAAGAGAGUCAAAUAGCACGUGAAAUUGUUGAAAGGGAAGCGCUUGCCGCCAGACUUGCCUGUAGUUGCUCAUCCGGGCUUUUGCCCGGUGCACUCUUCUGCGGGCAGGCCAGCAUCAGUUUGGGCGGUUGGAUAAAGGUCUUUGUCAUGUACCUCUCUUCGGGGAGAACUUAUAGGGGAGACGACAUACAACCAGCCUGGACUGAGGUCCGCGCAUUUGCUAGGAUGCUGGCGUAAUGGCUGUAAGCGGCCCGUCUCGAAACACGGACCAAGGAGUCUAACAUCUAUGCGAGUGUUUGGGGGUCAAGCCCGAGCGCGUAAUGAAAGUGAAAGGAGGUGGGACCCCUUUUAGGGUGCACCAUCGACCGAUCCUGAUGUCUUCGGAUGGAUUUGAGUAAGAGCAUGGCUGUUGGUACCCGAAAGAUGGUUAACUAUGCCUGAAUAGGGUGAAGCCAGAGGAAACUCUGGUGGAGGCUCCGCAGCGGUUCUGACGUGCAAAU
Molecule: ribosomal RNA, 820 nt
Filed under: Neocamarosporium betae
Lineage: Eukaryota; Fungi; Ascomycota; Dothideomycetes; Neocamarosporiaceae
Description: partial 28S ribosomal RNA
Rfam family: Eukaryotic large subunit ribosomal RNA
Source: RNAcentral